This is a long non-coding RNA of Sycon ciliatum, 170 nucleotides long. RefSeq lists it as uncharacterized. Lineage: Eukaryota; Metazoa; Porifera; Calcarea; Leucosolenida; Sycettidae. The transcript is spliced from 3 exons. The record is from RefSeq and is a predicted model, not a curated record.
CCUGCCGGGCUGUUCAGCGCCACAACCAAAUUACAAAAGCUAGAUUUGAAAGGUAAUCAACUUUUUCACCUACCUGCCGGGCUGUUCAACGCCACAACCAAAUUACAAAACCUAGAUUUGACCGGUAAUCAACUUGUUCACCUACCUGCCGGGCUGUUCAACACUACAAC